UCGGAAUUACUGGGCGUAAAGCGCAUGCAGGUGGUUUGUUAAGUCAGAUGUGAAAGCCCUGGGCUCAACCUAGGAAUCGCAUUUGAAACUGACAAGCUAGAGUACUGUAGAGGGGGGUAGAAUUUCAGGUGUAGCGGUGAAAUGCGUAGAGAUCUGAAGGAAUACCGGUGGCGAAGGCGGCCCCCUGGACAGAUACUGACACUCAGAUGCGAAAGCGUGGGGAGCAAACAGGAUUAGAUACCCUGGUAGUCCACGCCGUAAACGAUGUCUACUUGGAGGUUGUGCCCUAGAGGCGUGGCUUUCGGAGCUAACGCGUUAAGUAGACCGCCUGGGGAGUACGGUCGCAAGAUUAAAACUCAAAUGAAUUGACGGGGGCCCGCACAAGCGGUGGAGCAUGUGGUUUAAUUCGAUGCAACGCGAAGAACCUUACCUACUCUUGACAUCCAGAGAAUCUAGCGGAGACGCUGGAGUGCCUUCGGGAGCUCU
This 486-nucleotide ribosomal RNA is filed under the name Vibrio cholerae. RNAcentral describes it as "bacterial SSU rRNA". It matches the Rfam family "Bacterial small subunit ribosomal RNA", at positions 545 to 1030 of the family's 1533-position model. The record is from RNAcentral. Lineage: Bacteria; Pseudomonadati; Pseudomonadota; Gammaproteobacteria; Vibrionales; Vibrionaceae.